Long non-coding RNA from Parus major (Great Tit), 8126 nucleotides. RefSeq lists it as uncharacterized. NCBI's taxonomy places the organism in Eukaryota, Metazoa, Chordata, Aves, Passeriformes, Paridae. The record is from RefSeq and is a predicted model, not a curated record. The transcript has 2 exons.
UGCCAGCAUAAAAUCAUGAGUGUAUUCAGCUAUUUCAAAAAGACCUUGCCAAGAUCAACUGUUUAAUGCAUGCUUUGUGUAUCUGGGGUGAAGAAGACACAAUAGAAUGGCAAAUCUUACCCAGAAACAGCAUUGCAUUUCUGGAUUUCCAACCUAUCUUAGCCUCAAGCAAGGGAGAAGUUUGUACAGCAGUUAAGAUGAUUAACCAUGACUGACGCCACAAGUAUCCUAGGCUGGAAGAACUGCUAAAUCUCCAAAUUUUGCCCAGUCAUGUCACUGAAAGUGAUUCCAUACACCUGAAGAAGAUUGCUACACCCAAAUGUUUAUUUUUCUGGUGAUACUGGCUGACCUACUUUUGCCUACCAGGGGAAGUACAAACUGUUCCUAUCCAAAUGUCCUGAGAUCAUCCCAGAUGAGCUCUCAGACCUGUUUGAAGUUAUAUUCUGGGUCCAGCCUGACAGAAAGCUGAGAUCAACACCUUGCACUCCCUUUUCCAGCAGCCUUUGCGUGCCUGGCUGCAGCUCUGAAUUAAAACAAUCUCUCCCAAAAAGUAACCCAAGGAUUUGACUUUGUCAGGAAAGAAGAUGUGAUAAGAAUGGCUGUCUUCCAGGGCACAUAAGGGAGAGCUUCUGGUCCUGCUGCAAGGCACAUCUCCUGCUGGGAAGUCCUGUGGGAGGAAGGAGUGUAAUUUUGUGGGAGCAGCAUUAAGGAUGAACUCAGCAUUCACUACUGGAUGUGAAAUAGCCCCUUGAAGCUGAAUCCAGCUCUUCUCAAUCUCUAAAAGAAAGAACUGUAGAUUUGCUAAGGAAAACUAAGCCUGUGGUCUCAGGGGAUAUGAGAUACACUUUUAUUGUUAAUUUGUAUAUUUGCCUUGCUGCAAAUGUCAUCUAAAGCUGUGUAGGAGGAACGUAUCGGGAGGUGGUUUUUUCAAAUUUGUUUUAUUUGGUGUAGACACACUCUGAAAUAAACCUGAAGCCUGGGAGGGUUAGGAGGCAUGGAGGCUGUGCUUGAACCUUAACCCCAUGAGUGUUCUUCUCCUCCCCAUGGGCUCUGGCUGCACAGCCCACACAGGGCUCCCCAAAUUAUCCCAAAGUGAUAGGGAUCGAUGUGGCUUGUAACUUCUUCCUUAACUUCCUCACUAUUGAUGUUUUCUAACAAGAAAUCCAAACUGUGACAGGGGAAAUGAGUGAAGAAAGACCUUUCGAAAGAGGAGCAAAAUGGGAGCUGAUUCAAGCGUCUGUAAUUAGCUAAUGGCUGUGAAUAUUUAUGAAAUCUCCCAGCAGUGGCAGUGAAGUGCUGAUCCUAGAGAAGUGGACGCCCUCUUCCUUGAUGUCUUUAAUCCUUGCAGUCCCAGCUGCCAUGGCUCGACUCUUGGAAAACCCCACCCUCUUUUUGGCCUCUGAUCAAAAUCAAUAUUUCAGAGGGAAAUCACAACGGCAAAGGAGUUAAACAAAAGUUCAGAUAAGCAUAACAAAUACUGGAAAGAUGAGAUCCUCCAAGCAGAGUGCUCUAGAAAGCACUCCCGUUAAUCUGGGCAAGGCUCUCAUCAAUUGCUCUGUGCAGGAAGAGCUAUUCUUGGACUCAUAAGGAGAGCCCCAAUUUGGAUUUCUUGUGAAGCUGACUGUUGUUCAUGUCUGGACCAUGGCUGAUUGUUGCUAAUUUUGAUGCGGAGUUUGACUUUCCCUGCAGAGCGAAGGGUUUGAUGCUUUUCUUCAAAGGCAGUGCAGAUGCUUUAUUGUGUGUCAGAGAUCCAAGGAAGCUUAAAUAGAUAAAUUUAAAAAUGAGGUCCAGGACUUAGAGAGACUGGUUGAUUCUUAGUAGGUAAAGCCAAGUUAGAACAUGGCCACUGCCAAAGUGACUGUGGGACCAAACUGGAUUGGGAUCCUACAACUUGUGCCCAUUCCCUCACACCUUUUUACUGAAUAGUGCCCGGGCUGGCACUCAUUUAGGCUUCCAUUGAUGCUACUGCUAUAGAACAGAAAAACCAUCAUACACUUCAUUUUAAGGUUUCUGAAUCAGGAAGAUAUAAUCAUUAAGGCAAUGAUUUAUACAAAACUGCUAAUUAAUGAGCCAGGGGAGAGCACAACUUCUUUCCUAAAGAACAACAGUUCAUGUCAGAAAGGAGUAGAGUGUCACUGCUGUGAGAUGACUGUUUUUAAAUGUGGUUGUUUUACUGCCAUUCAGAGUCAUAGGAUGGUUUGGGUUGGAGGGGACCCUAAAGAUCACCCAGUCCCAACUCCCUGUCAUGGACAUGGACACCUUCCACUAGAGCAGGUAGAAGUGGGGGUAAAAAAAAGAACCCCUGUGGGAAGGCAGGUGUGUGGUACAGUGUGACAGGCAAGGUGGUGCUGAGCAGUCCUGAAAGUACAGGAAGUCACAGGAAUGGGAAGAUCCAAGGGGGAAAGGGUGGGAAAAAUACUCACUUUAAGCAGAUGAAGAAGUUGCAGCAGAUUUCCCUUCACCUGAGUAAUUCCAUGCCAAGGGUGCUUCCCCAGCAGUGCACCCCUGAGUCUGCUACAGAAACAUAACUACACAUUCUUCCCCAAAAUUUUCCCCAAAAUUGCAAUGGUCCAGAAUAAAAAAUUGCAGCUAUUAUAAAAUUAAUAUUACUCUGUAUCACAUCUGCAUCUCUUAAAUGCAUGCCACUCAAAAUUCUUGCUGGUUUUGUCAGUCACGUGCUCAGAAAUGCUUUCAAUAUACUAAGAAGAAUCUUAAAAACUCUAAAUCAGGUGUUUAAAUCUUCACAACCAUGCUAGCUUGAAAGAAAUUCAACCUCCCAGGCAGAGAGCCAGGUUUUGCUAUUGCGAAAAAUGGUUCUCCUGCAUGUGCUAAGGGAUUAGAUGUUCCUGAUGUUCUAGACAAAGGCACUGUAGGUUUUCCAAUGGUGAUAAAAUGCAAAUUUCACCCAUAAGUCUUUCUGUUGUCAGGGAGGAGAACAAUCUACCCAUGUGUGUGUAUGUGUGUGCUUAAAAAUUUUAAAAAUUAAAAUCUGCUGGGAAAGGGAGUGUAAAAGGGUAUGACUUCUCCAGAAUUAUCUUUUUUUUUGGAGACAAAUAUACUGAAUUGCAAUAAAAAUAUAGCUAAUCUAUAAGUAACUUAAUCAUUAAUCUUUAAGUAACUUAAACUGUAGUGUUUAAUAUUAAUAUGGACAUGUAGCCUGUGGCUUAUCAAAGUAUAGGGACCAUAUUGACAAGUGAAAUAUUGGAUCAAGAAAUAAAUUUUGCAGGAUCAGAAACAGUCACAACACAAACAAAAUAAAGAAAGUCCAAUAACAGGAAAGGCAGAGCAUCUGUAGUAGUUAUGACUGAUUUUCCAUUGCCCUACAUCCUUGGUAGCAAUUAGGUGUGGCUAUAAAAUGUUGUUAAAAGACUAAAUUGAAUAUCUGGUUUGCAGUGACUUGGCUGAACAUUUGAGCUGCUCAUGGUGGAUUAAACUGUGCAGUCACAGAGGGAUAAAUUUGCAAUUUGCAACCAUGAGCAUUCAUAUUUUAGUGAAUCAACACGAGAAAACUGACUUUUAUUACUGAAAUUCCAAAUGUAUCCUAGCCCUAGGACACAUGAUGUCCAGAAUGCCCUUCCUUACAGUCUGCACCUGAACUGUCUUUCACAGGACAGGAUGCUGGUUUGGCAGCAUUCACCAUUGCUGACAAGUGCUCUUUGAAAACCUGGGCACAAUAGUCUGAAAGGUGAUGCACAGACCAAGUUAAUCCCCUUCAGCAGAAUUGGUUCUCUGCCCUCACCUGUGGUUUUAUCAAAAACUAACCAGGGGGUUUAAAACAUAUUUUGAACUUGUGUCAGAGAAAUGAGAUGAGUUCAAGAGCUCCUGGAGCGCUCUGCCCAUCUGCCUACAACAGGAGAGAAGCUCCACAUGGCAAAUCCCACCUGCAUAUGGAUGUUGAGCCUCUAUUUCCCUUUUCAAGGUGAUGUCCACCUGCUUCAGAUGGAGAUUUAGACAGCUUUUAGCCAGAGGGACCCUGCCAUGGUGCUGGCUGGAGGGAAAUCCAAAACAGAAGUGUUUAAUCAUGGAUAGAUUCUUCACUUUACGCAAAAUGUGUUGUGACACAUUAUCUCUUCACCAUGUAGCAAAGUGUACUUUGCAGCGAUUGAAGAAAUUCAGUUAAAUCCAGCCUGUACUUGUGUUCGGGCUCGUUAUUUAUAGCAAGUGUGGGAGUGUGUUGGCCCCUUCUGACAGCAUAUCAUGGCCAUCUUAAAUCCUGAAAGCACUUUUUCUGUUGUUGUUGCCACGGUAAAUCUUUAAGAAGUUUAAUCUUAAAUUUAUGAGUGAUUUGGAGACCAGUCUGUUCAUGACACAUUAACAAAAUUAGACCAGGAAAUGUUUUGCUGAACAAACUCUGGUGCUUUUAUAAGGAGUGAGGUUGUUGGGAGUGUGCUCCCUGCUGUGUGUGCUGCCAAGGCAUGGCCUCCACGGCCCACAGGGAUGAGUGUGGAUGUGUUUGCCCCAUGGUAUUUCAAGAAAAAACAUUUACUGAACCAGCCUGAGAGAUUUAGAAAAUCAAAUCUCAAGGUGUUAGAGAGGACACUUAGCAUGGUAUGGAGUUUCAACAGUGAGCAAAAGAGUUAAUUUUGCUUCAAGAAGACAUAGAAAUAAUUUUUUUUUCUUGCUAAUUAAAUAUGAAACACACUAACUGUAUGCAAGUGUAAUUUUCUUAUCUUAUUAGCCAUGUUCAUUUCUGAAGUGAAUAACUACCAGCACUGGUGCAGUAUAUGGGCAGAAUAAUAGUCAAACUGAUUUUUACUUUAAUCUCUGAAUACAAUUAGCAUAAUUUAAACUGUUAUAAGAUACAGCAGAUAGAAAUCACAUUAUAGAGACUGUAGGUGGAGAGGUGGGUGGUCACAUGCAGAGGGAAAACUGGAAGAGCACUUAAAAUACAGCCGAAUAAUAAGUAUUCAGGAGAAUGUAAAGCUACAUGGAGUUGAAAGGCACAUUAUUUCAAGAGAUGGGGGAAGAAAAGUGGGAAAUCAUGAGCAAGGUUCAAGGACUUCUGUUACUGCAGGGCCUGAUCUCAAGAAAUGCUGUCGUAAGAGAUGUAGCUCAUACAACUGUUUUAUGGGGCAUGAAUCCUAAAUUCAACUUUCUUCAGAGGAGAGAACAGCCCAGUGGAGACAGACAGAUCACGUCUUGCCUGACCAGAUGGAAAGAGAAGCACUCAAGAUAUGAUGGGGGAAGGAAAGAGGCAGUUCAGAUGGGGAACCAGAGAGAUGGACCAUGGGUGUAAAGUGUGUGUUUGAGUGAGUUGUGCAGGAGAGCAGGGAUAGAAGAAGGAAAAAUAAGAGAGAAAGAAUGGGCUGAAUGAGGAGACUGGUCUGGAAAUCCUGAAUUGUAGGCUGGGGCUGACUGAACAGUCAGCACCCAUGAGUGUGGGAAGAAAGUGACAUGAACAAGGAGAGGAGAGAGGGACAAGCUGGUGAAGAUAAACCCAGGCUUGAGGGGAGUGGAAAGAAGGUGCUGCCUGACAACAGAAGGUGCUUCCUGAAGCCUGGGAUGCUCACAUCAUCCUACUCCUCUGCUGUCAGCAAAUAUCCAUACAGCCUCUGAGAAGCCAUUAUAAAUCACCUGCCACUGCAGCUGCUCCAUGGAAAAGAAAGGAUUACAGCUGAAAACUCGGGAAACAUUCUGAACUCAUUUUCCUUUCAAAUGCUUGCUUGCCCUCUCCAUUUACAUCCUGCACUAGUUUCUGCCAUGUUUUUUAAGCAAGUAACAAAAUUAAGGCCAGGAAUCUAGUUUAUUUAACCUGUAAUAAUCUGAUGUUGGCCAUAACUAGAUCUCUGUGGUCCCUUUUUAAUUGCUGCAAGGAAAUCCACAGGAUUUGUUAUUUAGUACAGAGUGGUCUGAAAAGUUACCAAGCUGUACAGCAUGUAUUAAUCAUGGGGUAAAUUUUAUCUAUAUCCUGACAAUUUACCCAGAGCAUGUUGUUUGAAAAGAACUAGAAAUGUUCUUCAGCAUAGUAUGAUUGAGGGUAUUCUGUGGCCAGGCCUUACUGCUGGAGUACAGAGCACAACUUUGACGUAUUUUUCACAUCAAAUUGAUAGAUUUCCUAUCGUAAAGACAUUUCUGAAGUAUAGAGCAUGGACCUCACUCCUGAAUGGCUGUUCCUUUGUUGCAGUGCUCUCUGCUCUUUGAAACAUCCUCCUAGAAAAAAAAAAAAAAAAAGCAAAAAAAAAAGCAAUCUCCAGACUUAAUUCACUGCUACAUAAUAGAAGGUGUUGUCAGCAAGUGGCACUUGCAAAAGCAGCCUUCCAGCUGGGUGGAUGUCAGACUGGAAGUCCAGUGAUUUCCAGUCCCUUUGGUCCCAGGCUGCCCAGAGAGCCCCUACAGAGCUUCCAUACAGAGGUGAAAAUAUUCUGCUUUUUGAAUCAGCCCUACUUGCAUUUUUACAAUGAAUUAAGCAGAUCUACACUGAUGUAUGAACUGUACUCUGUGUUUGUGUGUGAACAGAGAUUGGCCAGAAAAUCUUAGAAUCAUUAAUUAAAUCAAUAUAUAUCACCUGCAGAAAUAUGUGCACUGAGCAGUGUUUGUAGAUGAGCAGUACAUGUAAAGAUCCAUACAUGCUGUGCAGAUGUACUUUUGGCAAAGAUGACAGACAAUGAUACUUCCUGAGAAGACUUUCAAGGUUUCAAUCUUUUCAAGCUUUUUGUUUACUCAAUUAAUAUUGGCUGUAUUUAAUGCACCAAGAAAAAGCAUUCCAAUUGCUCUGAAGCACUCUGUUGCAAAGAAAAAAAAAAUCAGCAAAACCAGUUCAGUAAUUGUUUGGUAGGAUUUUUUUUCCAGUUUUUCUUGUACAUUUUGUACUUCAUAGACUUUUAAAUGAGAUUAACCUUUAAUGCCUAGAAAACAGGUAGUGACAUCUGUCUGAGAAAGAGACUUACAAAUACACAAGUGUUUGUAUUUCUAAAGAUGACAAUGAAGGCAGCAAGUAAAUUGUGUUAGUGCAUAUUUAACACUCUCUAGUUCUGCUAUUUGAUUUAGAAAAAAGUUAUGAAAGACUAUGAAGUGCUAACGAGGACAGCCCUCACCAAGCCCAAACUCUUAAGAAAUAGCAGCAGUCCUGCAGCAUUGCAUUUGUCUCUCAGUGCCAGGGCUCUAUAUUUAACAAGCUUUCCCCAGCUCCCACACCCAGAUGAAUUCAUUGGAAUGCAGUAGGAAAGCAAGAGCUCAUCUGACUCAUUAGGAAGCUCAUAUGCAAUUACCAUCAAUUAAAAAUUCCUUCUAGAGCCACCGUGUGAAUUUGGGUAUGCUGAAAGAAAUGAAAUAAUCAGGAUCUCUGUAAGCAGGACUUAGCUUUGCAUAGAGCUCAGGACAAACUCAGAGUUGAUUAAUCUGCAAAAAUAAUUAGCUGAUGUGCCGAGUAACGUGUGGGAUCCUCAGAGAACUUGUGUUGGAUGGAGUUUUACAUCUUCCACUUCACCGUCUGUGGCUUGCAAGCAACAGAGCCAAAGAAAAGCUUCUCUAUAUUGGGAAUGUAUUGGAAAAAAAAAACAACCAAACUGUUGUAACAACAUGUUUUGUUGAUAUGAAAUUAUUUUCUCUUUCUUUUCACCAGCCGCUAGCAAGGAAAAAAGUUUAGAGGUGGAAAUGUAAUGACAAAUGAUUUACAGAUGGAUUCCAUUUUCACUAUAUUCCUAUUAAGAUGGGUUGUAAACACUUUCCUUUCUUAGCCCAAGAUCUUUCUCAGAAUCUGUUCUGUUUAGGUUUAACUUGUUAGAUUUGGAAUAAGCUCUUCAAACGACUGAGCAGCUCUUGAGCCAACCCAACAGAAUCGAGGUGCCUCUGUCAUAAAUUUUCAUUGAAAAAUUUUAUUUUAACUUGAACCUUACCUGUGCAUCUGAUGUUUUAACACUAUUGAACGUUUACAUUCUGUUAAUUAAGCCUUUUAUAAAAACUUUUGAAAAAAUACAACAGAGCAAUUAAAAGUAUAUGUACAUAUAAUUUCACAGGCAUUUUAGAAGUCUAUACAAUAAAACAAGCAUGUGCUUAUGCCAUACUUAUUUGUAUUCGCUAUUUAUAAGAAGCAGAAAAUUCUACUUUUAUCUGUAAAGCAGAGCAAUACCUGGAUAUCUAGGAUUUUUGUAUUGUUUCCUUCUGAAAAAUAAAAAUGGUGAAACACC